RNAcentral lists this ribosomal RNA (243 nucleotides) under uncultured bacterium. RNAcentral's name for it is "partial 16S ribosomal RNA". It matches the Rfam family "Bacterial small subunit ribosomal RNA", at positions 91 to 334 of the family's 1533-position model. The record is from RNAcentral.
AACAGUGGCGAAUGGGUGAGUAACACGUAAGUAACCUGCCCCCAAGUAGGGGAUAACCUCGGGAAACUGGGGCUAAUACCUUAUGUGCUGGCAAAGGUAAUGCAUUGUCAGUAAAGUCUUCGGAUGCUUGGGGAGGGGCUUGUGGCCGAUUAGCUAGUUGGUAGGGUAAUGGUUUACCAAGGCGAAGAUCGGUAGCUGGUUUGAGAGGAUGGUCAGCCACACUGGGACUGAGACACGGCCCAG